AUAAAAUGAGCAACUAAAUGUUAAAAAUGUUAAGUCUUCUGUUGAUGGACACUAUUCUCCCAUACUGCAAAGCUCAGAGUAAAUGACGGAGCUGCUCACAGCUGGAAACGAUUAAAACAAAUUAUGAAUGGUGGUGAAACAGCUUCAAGGAAACAAAAAUAACGAAGAACAUUUUUGGCAUUUUAUUCCACUUUGUGCAGUUUUAUUGACGUCAGUUCGCAUAUUGUAUCAUUCCUCUCUAGCAUAAAGAUUAGUACUGUAUACUGUUAGAAAGUCACCUGGAAAUAGAAAACAUCUUAAAUUUCAGAGUAAUUUCCAACUCAGUGCUGUUACAAUCUUUAGUGAAGAAUGAUGCAUUUUUUUUCCUGCCUCCUAUCUCUACACAUGUAGAUUUUCCACUAUAUGUAGGCUUAACAUUUACGUUUCAUAAUUGAACCCAAAAUCAGCAUUUUUCUGUGCUCAGGCAUGCGCACAGUAAGAUUACCUGCAUGCUGAAGGGCAACUUGCAACACAUUAUCUCAUCUUGCAUGUGAGAGAGAAAUUAAAAGCCUGGUAAAAAAAAAAAAAAGAAGAAGGGGGUAGUGGAACGUAAGCGAAAGGGAAAUCGCUGUGUUAAUGAGAGAGAAAACACAUGACAGCGUCAGCGAAUGGCUCAGACCUGUAGUGGGAGGUGACAUCAUAGCAGAUUCCAGACAGCGUGAGAGCAAAGCAGGUGUUACGCCUGUGUCACCGCUCAGAGCUGGAGGAGGAGGAGGGCAGGGAACAAACACACAGCACGACUCAUCUCUGACGAGCAACACAGCAAAGCAGAACCGGGCAGCAGCCUCGCCGUCAGCAUACUACUUCUCUCUGCUUUGAGUUGUGUUUUGAAGAUCAGCUCAUUUUUUGUUUUGGCGGUUCCAGGUGGCUGGAGAACACAAGUAUCACCCUGAGUGCUUUGUGUGCCUGAGCUGCAAGGUGGUGAUUGAGGACAGGGAUACCUACGCCUUAGUCGAGCGAUCGAAACUCUACUGUGGAAAGUGCUACAAACAGGUGAUCCUUACACCCAUGUUGGAAAAACGCUCGCACGACUCGGUCCUAGACUCCCUGCCUCACACGGUGACCCUCAUCUCCAUGCCCUCUGCAGCCAAUGGCAAGAGGGGCCUCUCCGUCUCAGUGUUGAGGGACGUCAACGGCUUAGCGAGUGUUCAAGUCAAAGAGGUCAGAGGGAUGCUUAUUAGUCCGGAGGUGCGAAAUGCCAUCCAUGUUGGCGACAGGAUCCUGGAGAUCAAUGGCCUUCCUGUUGGGACACUGAUGGAGGAGGAGGUGGGUUGUUUUUUGUUUUGUUUUGUU
This is a long non-coding RNA of Larimichthys crocea (large yellow croaker), 1332 nucleotides long. RefSeq lists it as uncharacterized. NCBI's taxonomy places the organism in Eukaryota, Metazoa, Chordata, Actinopteri, Sciaenidae. The transcript has 3 exons. The record is from RefSeq and is a predicted model, not a curated record.